Molecule: long non-coding RNA, 359 nt
Organism: Fukomys damarensis (Damara mole-rat)
Lineage: Eukaryota; Metazoa; Chordata; Mammalia; Rodentia; Bathyergidae
Exons: 3
Source: RefSeq, a predicted model, not a curated record
UAAGACAGUGCAAGCAAGGGGUCUGCUAGAAUUUUCAGCUGUACUGGAUAUGAACAAUGAUGGGAGCUGGACAUAACAGAGGCUCAUUUACAUAAUGCAGCAGAUGCCAAUUAAUCUAAGUUAGCAUCUGAUUGACACCCAAGGCAUCAUGAACCCAAAGAGGUAGAGACCCAGAGCCACGGGCUGGUGUCCAGCUUCCUGCGGCUGAGGGACCAAGGUACCUUGGGAUGGUUCUCUUCACUCCCUGGCACUUUCUGGCUCAAGAGUUGUCACAGAGCGCUGUCCUGCAAAUCACUGAAGAAAAAAAAAACUUUACCAAAGCCCACACAAAAUUACUUCAUUCCUGCCCAAACAGCCAA